UAGGGAAUCUUCCACAAUGGACGCAAGUCUGAUGGAGCAACGCCGCGUGAGUGAAGAAGGUCUUCGGAUCGUAAAACUCUGUUGUUAGAGAAGAACACGAGUGAGAGUAACUGUUCAUUCGAUGACGGUAUCUAACCAGCAAGUUACGGCUAACUACGUGCCAG
This 164-nucleotide ribosomal RNA is filed under the name uncultured bacterium. RNAcentral describes it as "partial 16S rRNA". It matches the Rfam family "Bacterial small subunit ribosomal RNA", at positions 355 to 511 of the family's 1533-position model. The record is from RNAcentral.